Molecule: ribosomal RNA, 253 nt
Filed under: uncultured bacterium
Lineage: Bacteria
Description: partial 16S ribosomal RNA
Rfam family: Bacterial small subunit ribosomal RNA
Source: RNAcentral
UACAGAGGGGGCAAGCGUUGUUCGGAAUUACUGGGCGUAAAGGGCGCGUAGGCGGCCUUCUAAGUCGAACGUGAAAUCCCCGGGCUCAACCCGGGAACUGCGUCCGAUACUGGCAGGCUUGAAUCCGGGAGAGGGAUGUGGAAUUCCAGGUGUAGCGGUGAAAUGCGUAGAUAUCUGGAGGAACACCGGUGGCGAAGGCGGCAUCCUGGACCGGUAUUGACGCUGAUGCGCGAAAGCCAGGGGAGCAAACGGG